Non-coding RNA from Nothobranchius furzeri (turquoise killifish), 887 nucleotides. The record is from RefSeq and is a predicted model, not a curated record. Lineage: Eukaryota; Metazoa; Chordata; Actinopteri; Cyprinodontiformes; Nothobranchiidae.
CCUCCCCUCACGGUCUCUUGGUGUCUGCUACGCCCACAAGAUAGAUCUGUUACCUUGCAAGAAAAGAAAUAUCUCCACACCUAAAAGGAAAAGAAGGAAACUUGUAACUCAUUCCCUGCAUCAGGCGUUUCGGGUAUGUCUGACUAAAACCGUGUGCUGUAGCUGACGCCUCACACCAACAGAUGUUUUCACACGCAGCAACACUUCGGAAGAUAGGAGUCAGCGUGAACACAGCAGCCUACUAAUGGUGCCAUCUCUGCAAAAGCUGAGCGCGCUGUCAUCCGCUGAGCGUCACCAGCGCAAAGCAUCUGCUUGGGGAGCCUGUGAUGAGAAAACAUGCUCGUAAAAGUCGAGCGGUACAGUAGGAUGCCGGGGCAUUCGCAGAAGGGGCUCUGACAAGCACCGGAAGCUUCCUGCAUCUCCUCUCAACCCCACGGCUGCACCAGCAAGGAGAAGUCACCAGACCACGGAUGAUGAGUUCUGCUGCAGCGGAGCGCGUCAGGCACCAAUAAAACAGAAAGUACCAGAGAGUAUAUGAACGGACAUGAACGGUGGUGUGUGUUGAUUAUAUUUUUUGAUGGCACCACUUUGAGAAGGUUACUGUGGCCGUCGGCAGGACGCAGAUGUCCAGAGUGCAUCAGCGUGUGCGUCUCUCCUUUGCGGAGCAUAAACUAGGCUUAACAGUGAUGCUAAUACAUGUGUGUUAGUGACUGAGGUAAUUUAAACCCUUUAUAAAGAUUUUCAAAUAGGAAAAGCAAGCCUUGGGUGAAGAUUCUUGUUUUUAUUUUAGUCGUUUCUUAGCUCUAGCUACACAUAACUAUGUGCUGUGAGGCAACCUUCUACUUCUGAAUCUGUGCCUGAUGAACUAAAACAUCUCAAAAACAUUA